RNAcentral lists this unclassified non-coding RNA (543 nucleotides) under Hevea brasiliensis (rubber tree). The record is from RNAcentral. Lineage: Eukaryota; Viridiplantae; Streptophyta; Magnoliopsida; Malpighiales; Euphorbiaceae.
GCCGGAUUAUGACUCCCGUACUUGGGGAACAGUUGCUUGAACUUCCGCUACUUUGUAGGGGAAUAUCUCUAAAAUUAGUCUUCUGCUUUAACUCAUUCCUCUUGGCAUCUAGUUCUUUGAUCCUCUGCUGCAGGUGCUUUAUAUAAUUCACAGCCUCGUUCAUGUGAUCAGAUAUUGAACGCUUUCCCUUGAUAUAUUCAAGAGGGAGUAAAGAUCGAAGGGAUGCAUAAAGGGUAGCCAUUUCCUGCCUCCUUUGGCGUUCAAUAUCCCUGUGCAAUAACUUCUUCUUAUUAUUACCGUUAUCCCUAGCAGUCUCAUCAUUGUCCAUAGAAAUGGAUUUUCGCCGCCUACUUUUUCCCAAGUCAUCUGUUAAAUCAGGACUGCCAUAGAGUACAGAGUGAGGGAGAAUUAUAUCUUGUGGGAUUUUGUGGGGAGCAUUAGAAGAAAUCUGGAAGCACAGCUCAUUGCCUUGGUGUAAAGGAAACAUAGUUGCAAGCUUGAAGGGUAAGGUGGAGAUUAAAGAAGCAGAUACGUUUGUUAGGG